CAAUAGCAUAUAUUAACGUUGUUGCAGUUGAAAAGCUCGUAGUUGAACUUUUGGUAGGAGCGACCUGGCCUUGGGCGCAUGCCCUUGUUUGCCGUGUGUCGUAUCUGGCCAUCCUUUUCCGUUUCGGCGGGAAUCUUUUACUGUGAGUAAACUGGAGUGCUCAAAACAAGACGUUUGUUUGGUACAUUAAAGCAUGGAAUAAUAAGAUAGGACCUGGUUACUAUUUUGUUGGUUUGCAUAGCUAGGUAAUGAUUAACAGGGACAGUUGGGGGUAUUCGUAUUUAAUUGUCAGAGGUGAGAUUCUUGGAUUUAUGAAAGACGAACGACUGCGAAAGCAUUUACCAAGGAUGUUUUCAUUAA
Molecule: ribosomal RNA, 360 nt
Filed under: uncultured eukaryote
Lineage: Eukaryota
Description: partial 18S ribosomal RNA
Rfam family: Eukaryotic small subunit ribosomal RNA
Source: RNAcentral